Molecule: transfer RNA, 69 nt
Filed under: Megalagrion nigrohamatum nigrolineatum
Lineage: Eukaryota; Metazoa; Arthropoda; Insecta; Odonata; Coenagrionidae
Description: tRNA-Asx
Source: RNAcentral
AGAAUUAGUUAAAUAAUUAACAUUAGAAUGUCAACCUAAAAUUACCAACAAAUUGGUAUUCUUUGAUCC